This 249-nucleotide long non-coding RNA is filed under the name Calidris pugnax (ruff). RNAcentral's name for it is "lncRNA (ENSCPUG00000019709.1)". Lineage: Eukaryota; Metazoa; Chordata; Aves; Charadriiformes; Scolopacidae. The record is from RNAcentral.
UUCCGCCCCGCGCAGGAGAGGCAGGAGCAUCCCCGCGCUGCCGGGGCCAUGAGCCCGCGAGAGGCAAAGGGGCAGCAGCACCGGGCAGCCCCCGGCCAGCCCAGCUGAAGGAGGAGGAAGAGGAGGAAGAGGAUGGAGGCAAGAGGAGCGGGCGCCCCACGCGCUGGGGGAGGAUGAGGAUGAUGCGAAAGCCGGAUCCUCAUAGCGUGGGAAAGACGCAAGCUGCCGGCAUCCGACCCGGGGAUUUAU